AGCGUACACGGUGGAUGCCCUGGCAGUCAGAGGCGAUGAAGGACGUGCUAAUCUGCGAAAAGCGUCGGUAAGGUGAUAUGAACCGUUACAGCCGGCGAUGUCCGAAUGGGGAAACCCAGUGUGAUUCGUCACACUAUCGUUAACUGAAUACAUAGGUUAACGAGGCGAACCGGGGGAACUGAAACAUCUAAGUACCCCGAGGAAAAGAAAUCAACCGAGAUUCCCCCAGUAGCGGCGAGCGAACGGGGAGCAGCCCAGAGUCUGAAUCAGCUUGUGUGUUAGUGGAACGGUCUGGAAAGUCCGACGGUACAGGGUGAUAGUCCCGUACACCAAAAUGCACAGGUUGUGAACUCGAAGAGUAGGGCGGGACACGUGGUAUCCUGUCUGAAUAUGGGGGGACCAUCCUCCAAGGCUAAAUACUCCUGACUGACCGAUAGUGAACCAGUACCGUGAGGGAAAGGCGAAAAGAACCCCGGCGAGGGGAGUGAAAAAGAACCUGAAACCGUGUACGUACAAGCAGUGGGAGCACCUUCGGGUGUGACUGCGUACCUUUUGUAUAAUGGGUCAGCGACUUAUAUUCUGUAGCAAGGUUAACCGUAUAGGGGAGCCGCAGGGAAACCGAGUCUUAACUGGGCGUUAAGUUGCAGGGUAUAGACCCGAAACCCGGUGAUCUAGCCAUGGGCAGGUUGAAGGUUGGGUAACACUAACUGGAGGACCGAACCGACUAAUGUUGAAAAAUUAGCGGAUGACUUGUGGCUGGGGGUGAAAGGCCAAUCAAACCGGGAGAUAGCUGGUUCUCCCCGAAAGCUAUUUAGGUAGCGCCUCGUGAAUUCAUCUUCGGGGGUAGAGCACUGUUUCGGCUAGGGGGUCAUCCCGACUUACCAACCCGAUGCAAACUACGAAUACCGAAGAAUGUUAUCACGGGAGACACACGGCGGGUGCUAACGUCCGUCGUGAAGAGGGAAACAACCCAGACCGCCAGCUAAGGUCCCAAAGUCACAGUUAAGUGGGAAACGAUGUGGGAAGGCACAGACAGCCAGGAUGUUGGCUUAGAAGCAGCCAUCAUUUAAAGAAAGCGUAAUAGCUCACUGGUCGAGUCGGCCUGCGCGGAAGAUGUAACGGGGCUAAACUGUGCACCGAAGCUGCGGCAGCGACACUAUGUGUUGUUGGGUAGGGGAGCGUUCUGUAAGCCUGCGAAGGUGGCCUGUGAGGGUUGCUGGAGGUAUCAGAAGUGCGAAUGCUGACAUAAGUAACGAUAAUGCGGGUGAAAAGCCCGCACGCCGGAAGACCAAGGGUUCCUGUCCAACGUUAAUCGGGGCAGGGUGAGUCGACCCCUAAGGCGAGGCCGAAAGGCGUAGUCGAUGGGAAACAGGUUAAUAUUCCUGUACUUGGUGUUACUGCGAAGGGGGGACGGAGAAGGCUAUGUUAGCCGGGCGACGGUUGUCCCGGUUUAAGCAUGUAGGCGGAGGUUCCAGGUAAAUCCGGUACCUUUUAACGCUGAGGUGUGAUGACGAGGCACUACGGUGCUGAAGUAACAAAUGCCCUGCUUCCAGGAAAAGCCUCUAAGCAUCAGGUAACAUUAAAUCGUACCCCAAACCGACACAGGUGGUCAGGUAGAGAAUACCAAGGCGCUUGAGAGAACUCGGGUGAAGGAACUAGGCAAAAUGGUGCCGUAACUUCGGGAGAAGGCACGCUGAUAUGUAGGUGAAGCCCCUGCGGGUGGAGCUGAAAUCAGUCGAAGAUACCAGCUGGCUGCAACUGUUUAUUAAAAACACAGCACUGUGCAAACACGAAAGUGGACGUAUACGGUGUGACGCCUGCCCGGUGCCGGAAGGUUAAUUGAUGGGGUUAUCCGUAAGGAGAAGCUCUUGAUCGAAGCCCCGGUAAACGGCGGCCGUAACUAUAACGGUCCUAAGGUAGCGAAAUUCCUUGUCGGGUAAGUUCCGACCUGCACGAAUGGCGUAAUGAUGGCCAGGCUGUCUCCACCCGAGACUCAGUGAAAUUGAACUCGCUGUGAAGAUGCAGUGUACCCGCGGCAAGACGGAAAGACCCCGUGAACCUUUACUAUAGCUUGACACUGAACAUUGAGCCUUGAUGUGUAGGAUAGGUGGGAGGCUUUGAAGCGUGGACGCCAGUCUGCGUGGAGCCAACCUUGAAAUACCACCCUUUAAUGUUUGAUGUUCUAACGUUGGCCCCUGACCGGGGUUGCGGACAGUGUCUGGUGGGUAGUUUGACUGGGGCGGUCUCCUCCCAAAGAGUAACGGAGGAGCACGAAGGUUAGCUAAUCCUGGUCGGACAUCAGGAGGUUAGUGCAAUGGCAUAAGCUAGCUUGACUGCGAGCGUGACGGCGCGAGCAGGUGCGAAAGCAGGUCAUAGUGAUCCGGUGGUUCUGAAUGGAAGGGCCAUCGCUCAACGGAUAAAAGGUACUCCGGGGAUAACAGGCUGAUACCGCCCAAGAGUUCAUAUCGACGGCGGUGUUUGGCACCUCGAUGUCGGCUCAUCACAUCCUGGGGCUGAAGUAGGUCCCAAGGGUAUGGCUGUUCGCCAUUUAAAGUGGUACGCGAGCUGGGUUUAGAACGUCGUGAGACAGUUCGGUCCCUAUCUGCCGUGGGCGCUGGAGAAUUGAGGGGGGCUGCUCCUAGUACGAGAGGACCGGAGUGGACGCAUCACUGGUGUUCGGGUUGUCAUGCCAAUGGCAUUGCCCGGUAGCUAAAUGCGGAAGAGAUAAGUGCUGAAAGCAUCUAAGCACGAAACUUGCCCCGAGAUGAGUUCU
RNAcentral lists this ribosomal RNA (2773 nucleotides) under human gut metagenome. RNAcentral describes it as "bacterial LSU rRNA". It matches the Rfam family "Bacterial large subunit ribosomal RNA". The record is from RNAcentral.